RNAcentral lists this ribosomal RNA (289 nucleotides) under Malassezia globosa. Its description in RNAcentral is "partial large subunit ribosomal RNA". Lineage: Eukaryota; Fungi; Basidiomycota; Malasseziomycetes; Malasseziales; Malasseziaceae. The record is from RNAcentral.
AAAAGUACGUGAAAAUGGCGAAAGGGAAACACUUGAAGUCAGCCUGCUGCUUGAGACUAAGCCUGGCCUUUGGACCUGUGUAUUUCUCGGCGGCAACCCAUAUUGGUUUGGGUCCCCGGAAAAGCGCAUAGAAAAUGGCACGUUCCCGCACGUGUUAUACCCUUCCCCAAGAUACGACCACCUGCAUCAAAGAACGCAGUGUGCCCUCUGGGCGGGUCUUCAGACACCUUCACACUUAAGAUGCUGGCAAAGUGGCUUUAAGUGGCCCGUCUUGAAACACGGCCCAAGA